UUUUUUAAUAAUUCGUAGCAUCGAUGAUGGGAAGCUUUUUUUUUUUGUUGCCUUUCUUUCUUACAUUUCAGCUUGGGCGGUGGCCAUCCGCCAUGGCCGAUUGGCAGCCAGCCGUCUGAGGAAUGGAAAACCGCCCCUCCACCUCCUCUUCCACCUUCUUCCCUGCCAACUAUAUGAAGAAAGGCCCCAAUGAGGAGGCGAGUAGAAGGCAGAGAAGGUGCCGAUGAAAAGCACCCGAGGACAGAGAGGGACGCAUCAAAAUAGGGGUGAGCCACUCAUAAGCGCGCGAAAACAAAAGGCGGGGUGUUUCUCUAGCAACCGCCGUUGGUUUUUUUUAAAUCCGGUGCCGCGGGAACCAUGCGGCGAUUCGUCAACGGCUGUUCCAUCCGGGACAGCAAGCAGCUUUCUUUUAUUGUUGGUGAUGUAUUGAGAUGAAAGAAGAAAGAUGGACCCCACAUCGAGCGCCAGCUGAGAGAUGAAUCCAGGCAGCAGUGCGAGUCUACGUCCGCGUUGGCUUGUUUUUUUCUACAAAGCAAGUCUUUGUUUUCUACA
Elaeis guineensis (African oil palm) is the source of this 552-nucleotide non-coding RNA. NCBI's taxonomy places the organism in Eukaryota, Viridiplantae, Streptophyta, Magnoliopsida, Arecales, Arecaceae. The record is from RefSeq and is a predicted model, not a curated record.